CUAACUUUUAUAAUGUUUGAUAACAUGGGAAAUGAAUUAAAUGAAUGUUGUUAAACGGUUAAACCAGACCAAUGCAUCAGGUGGCCAACUCUCUACCCCAUCUCAGCUGAGCUGUUUUGUUUCCAUUCGCUAUGAAACAACAGAUUGCGUCUUCAAUAAUAAAACAUGAGCAUGAUUUAGGUUGCACAAGUGUGUGUGGAGCCUACGUUAUUAAUGAGCCUACAGUUGGGUUCCAGAAUGUGGUGCUGCUAAGCCACUAACAGAUGGUCAAUGUCUUGUUUAAUAAGUAGGCAGUAGUGUGGAGGCAAUGGUAGGCUAAAAUUGGCUACAUGAGACUGCCCGUAAUUGGAGUCUGAAAUUAACUGAAUCGGUCAGGAAGUAGGAACCGAACAGAACCGAAACCACAGUUGCGGGCGCAGUUGGAACUUGGAAUCCAGGCGUUGGAGGACCCGCCAGUCAUCACAUCAUACCGGAGUGACGAGCGUCAACAUUCUCCUGCUUGGGCAGUUUCCGUGGAGUCGACGGGCUUUCUGGACGAAGAGGUCACAAACUCACACCCACUUUAAAAGCCUCUCCUCCUUCCACCCCGGGGAACAUUACUGUGGGGCAAACGGGCCUGGCUGUGAGUGGAUGGAUGCACAGAACUGAUAAACGGCCCGUAACGAAGGACAGUGCCCCAGUGUGCUCCAGUUUCACCAGCACAUCCUGGCAGCAGUGACUGGAGCUCCAUUAUCUGUAUCUGUGUGUGUGUGUGUGGGUCUGAGACACGUUGGAGUAGAGGUGCCCACUGCAGCAUGUGCCAGAGAAGGCUGGAGGACAAGAAGAAUGACACUAGCGUCUUAAAACACACAAAUACAUUCACAUAGACACAAACACACACAUAUACUCAAACGCACACUUUGGGGUCAGUCCCUCUGAAAGGGUUUCUGCAGGCGUCUUAGCUGGUUUUGUGUGUGUCUGGUGACUCACACGGCCAGGGCUGGUGACUGAGGCUGCUGAGGAGAAGCCAGUUUUACUCACAGGGUCGGAGCUGAGUAGUAAUCACCCACAGCCCCAGAGACGUACAGGCAGAGGGAGAGUGGGAGAGAGAGCGAAAGAAAAAGGCAAAUGCGAUGGUGGAGGAGGGAGCCGUGAGAGAGGAGUGGCAGUCGUGCAUGAGCGGGUGAACAUACAGUACAUGCACACACAUACACACACACACACACACAUCCCACGUGCACAAACACACACAUGAAGCGGAGAGACAAGGCUCCUCGGCUAGCUGGGCUUCAGCGCUGAGGCUUAACUGAGUUGCGUCUCCCACUCUGGAGGCAGGGAAGGAGAGGAGAGGAGAGGAGAGAGGAGGGAAGCACAGGAGUGCUCAGCUGCCUGCCAUUCUGGCUCUGGCUUCACCACAGCAGCACCACAGCCAUAGGAGAGGAGAGCCCAGGGCUACACACUCCUGAAACUGGAACAGCCGCUCAUCACUCGCUAAGAGGAGGCAACCAGAGAGAAGAACAGGACGGGAACA
Molecule: long non-coding RNA, 1510 nt
Organism: Clupea harengus (Atlantic herring)
Lineage: Eukaryota; Metazoa; Chordata; Actinopteri; Clupeiformes; Clupeidae
Exons: 3
Source: RefSeq, a predicted model, not a curated record